CCCUUAGAUGUCCUGGGCCGCACGCGCGCUACACUGAUGCAUGCAACGAGUUUAUAACCUUGGCCUGAAAGGUCUGGGUAAUCUUUUGAACGUGCAUCGUGAUAGGGAUAGAUUAUUGCAAUUGUCAAUCUUGAACGAGGAAUUCCUAGUAAACGCGAGUCAUCAGCUCGCAUUGAUUACGUCCCUGCCCUUUGUACACACCGCCCGUCGCACCUACCGAUUGAAUGGUUCGGUGAAGAUCUCGGACUUCGAUAUUUAUUCUUUAUUGAGUUUAUAUUGUGGGAAGUUAUCUAAACCUCAUCAUUUAGAGGAAGGUGAAGUCGUAACA
RNAcentral lists this ribosomal RNA (328 nucleotides) under uncultured eukaryote. RNAcentral describes it as "partial 18S ribosomal RNA". It matches the Rfam family "Eukaryotic small subunit ribosomal RNA", at positions 1470 to 1796 of the family's 1831-position model. The record is from RNAcentral.